This is a long non-coding RNA of Dermochelys coriacea (leatherback sea turtle), 1546 nucleotides long. RefSeq lists it as uncharacterized. The transcript is spliced from 2 exons. Lineage: Eukaryota; Metazoa; Chordata; Testudines; Dermochelyidae. The record is from RefSeq and is a predicted model, not a curated record.
GAGCCCCCCCCAGAAGAACUGGUCACAGUCCAGGGGCUGGCAUAAGGGGGCCAAACUACAUUGCCUGCAUUUCCCUAUGCCAGUGUUGAAUUCAGCCCCUCUCUUUAGAACCAGGUGCUUCCAAUAGCUUCCCUGACCUGAGCAGGUGGUUGGGGGAUGCUGUGAAGAGGCCUUUUACCGGUAGGUCAUUGGCUGAAAUCUGCCUCAGACUGACAAGCCCCAGUGCUCUCAGAUGUUAUGCGGAUGCUCAUGUACCUCCAGAUUUCUGUGCUGAUGGCGCAGAACUGUGCUCUGGAGCCUGAUUCAUUGAAAAACAUCCCUGAAAUCUCUAGUCCUCAAGCUUGCAAAGAAACUUUUCUUAGAGGGAACUGCUGGUGCCAGGGCCGUCAACUGCCCUGUUCAUCCUUAUGGGAUGUUAACACUGAACCCUAAUGAUAUUGACUGUGAAGGUCACAGUCACUGUUUCACUGCUGUCAGCAGAAACCCCUCCAACUCCCUUCCCCUUCACCAGGCUGCCUCUGCUGGGCUGAUAGGGAGGGGAUUGCCCUUCCAGCUCCCUCCCCCAUGGCCAGGCUGGCUGUGUGGCAUUAGCAAGAGGGUAAGAAGCAGCAACUGACUUUUGUCCCUGAAGUCGGCAAGGAAAUGCAACGUCUCUGCCUCGCUCUCCCUGCACAAGGGCAGGAAGGUCCAUGCCCAGUGGUGUUCGCUGGCGGCUGGGCAGCGCUUUGCAGAGGGCGAUGUUCAUGCCGAGCAUGUGGCGGGGUGGAAAGGGCGAGCGGGGGAGAGAUGCCCAGCUGAAGAGCAAGGAGAAUUGCUCUAAGCCCCAGGUGGCUCUGGAGUGAUGGAGGGAGAAGGAUUCUGGGUCCUAGUGUAUGGAAGUAACUCCCCUCCCCCACCCGCAGUGCUGGACUCAGGGCUACCUAGCAAGACCGUUUCAUGCCCCUCCCACAGCGUCGUCCCACCUCCACCACUCCCCAUUCCCAGGUGGUGGUUUGUGUGCUCAAGGUGCUCCUUUGUGCUCACGAAGUGCGCCAAAGACUGGUGUGUAGCUCUGCCCUCAGUGCCUCCCCCAUAGGGACAGGCCCUUGCCCCUUGUGUGCAACACUCACUUUGCGCUGUUGUAAAUGACUGCACAAGGGACCAGGUGGCAGGGAAUCGGGAUCAAUGAAUCCAGCCUGGCCUACGCACCCGCUGUAGCAGAUUAACUAAGGGCUGGGAAGCUAAUUGACUUCAACAGGUGCAGAUCCCUGCCUGGACACUCUGGAUUCAGUCCAGCCUGGCUCAUGUCCGUUUAGUGUCACUUGAUUCCUAGCAGCACUAGUUCACUCGGGGUUCGGGGUAAAUCGUAUUCAUUGCAUCCACAUGGGGCUGCGUUGCUGUGAUGAAAACAAUUUACAACGUAACUUUAGCUGGGAGGCAAACGUUUCUGUGCAGCCCCGUCCCCUGCCAGCCCACAGCCUAGCAUGGCCAUGGUCCUGCUUGAGUGCAGCCCCCUUCCUGCGUGCUUAGAACUUGUGGAGAAGCCUCCUCCAAAGGGUGAAUUGUG